AUUGAACGCUGGCGGAAUGCUUUACACAUGCAAGUCGAACGGUAGAGGGGGCAACCCCUCGAGAGUGGCGAACGGGUGAGUAAUAUAUCGGAACGUGCCCAGUCGUGGGGGAUAACGUAGCGAAAGUUACGCUAAUACCGCAUACGAUCUAAGGAUGAAAGCGGGGGAUCGCAAGACCUCGCGCGAUUGGAGCGGCCGAUAUCAGAUUAGGUAGUUGGGGGGGUAAAGGCUCACCAAGCCAACGAUCUGUAGCUGGUCUGAGAGGACGACCAGCCACACUGGAACUGAGACACAGUCCAGACUCCUACGGGAGGCAGCAGUGGGGAAUUUUGGACAAUGGACGCAAGUCUGAUCCAGCCAUUCCGCGUGCAGGAUGAGGGCCCUCGGGUUGUAAACUGCUUUUGUACGGAACGAAAAGGUCUCUCUUAAUACGGGGGGCUCAUGGCGGUACCGUAAGAAUAAGCACCGGCUAACUACGUGCCAGCCGCCGCGGUAA
RNAcentral lists this ribosomal RNA (496 nucleotides) under uncultured bacterium. RNAcentral describes it as "partial 16S ribosomal RNA". It matches the Rfam family "Bacterial small subunit ribosomal RNA", at positions 30 to 523 of the family's 1533-position model. The record is from RNAcentral.